UAUACCGUGAAACUGCGAAUGGCUCAUUAAAUCAGUUAUCGUUUAUUUGAUAGUACCUUACUACUUGGAUAACCGUGGUAAUUCUAGAGCUAAUACAUGCUGAAAACCUCAACUUCGGAAGAGGUGUAUUUAUUAGAUAAAAAACCAACGCCCUUCGGGGCUUCUUGGUGAUUCAUGAUAACUUUACGGAUCGCAUGGCCUUGCGCCGGCGACGGUUCAUUCAAAUUUCUGCCCUAUCAACUUUCGAUGGUAAGGUAUUGGCUUACCAUGGUUUCAACGGGUAACGGGGAAUUAGGGUUCGAUUCCGGAGAGGGAGCCUGAGAAACGGCUACCACAUCCAAGGAAGGCAGCAGGCGCGCAAAUUACCCAAUCCCGACACGGGGAGGUAGUGACAAUAAAUACUGAUACAGGGCUCUUUUGGGUCUUGUAAUUGGAAUGAGUACAAUUUAAACCUCUUAACGAGGAACAAUUGGAGGGCAAGUCUGGUGCCAGCAGCCGCGGUAAUUCCAGCUCCAAUAGCGUAUAUUAAAGUUGUUGCAGUUAAAAAGCUCGUAGUUGAAACUUGGGUCUGGCUGGCAGGUCCGCCUCACCGCGUGUACUUGUCCGGCCGGGCCUUCCUUCUGGAGAACCUCAUGCCCUUCACUGGGCGUGUUGGGGACCAGGACUUUUACUUUGAAAAAAUUAGAGUGUUCAAAGCAGGCCUUUGCUCGAAUACGUUAGCAUGGAAUAAUAGAAUAGGACGUGCGGUCCUAUUUUGUUGGUUUCUAGGACCGCCGUAAUGAUUAAUAGGGACAGUCGGGGGCAUCAGUAUUCAAUUGUCAGAGGUGAAAUUCUUGGAUUUAUUGAAGACUAACUACUGCGAAAGCAUUUGCCAAGGAUGUUUUCAUUAAUCAGUGAACGAAAGUUAGGGGAUCGAAGACGAUCAGAUACCGUCGUAGUCUUAACCGUAAACUAUGCCGACUAGGGAUCGGGCGAUGUUCUUUUUCUGACUCGCUCGGCACCUUACGAGAAAUCAAAGUU
This 1020-nucleotide ribosomal RNA is filed under the name Coniothyrium dolichi. RNAcentral describes it as "SSU rRNA". It matches the Rfam family "Eukaryotic small subunit ribosomal RNA", at positions 75 to 1105 of the family's 1831-position model. Lineage: Eukaryota; Fungi; Ascomycota; Dothideomycetes; Pleosporales; Coniothyriaceae. RNAcentral also lists the same sequence under 1 other name. The record is from RNAcentral.